This 483-nucleotide ribosomal RNA is filed under the name uncultured bacterium. RNAcentral's name for it is "partial 16S ribosomal RNA". It matches the Rfam family "Bacterial small subunit ribosomal RNA", at positions 30 to 507 of the family's 1533-position model. The record is from RNAcentral.
UUGAACGCUGGCGGCAGGCCUAACACCUGCAAGUCGAGCGGAUGAAGGGGGCUUGCUCCUGGAUUCAGCGGCGGACGGGUGAGUAAUGCCUAGGAAUCUGCCUGGUAGUGGGGGAUAACGUCCGGAAACGGGCGCUAAUACCGCAUACGUCCUGAGGGAGAAAGUGGGGGAUCUUCGGACCUCACGCUAUCAGAUGAGCCUAGGUCGGAUUAGCUAGUUGGUGGGGUAAAGGCCUACCAAGGCGACGAUCCGUAACUGGUCUGAGAGGAUGAUCAGUCACACUGGAACUGAGACACGGUCCAGACUCCUACGGGAGGCAGCAGUGGGGAAUAUUGGACAAUGGGCGAAAGCCUGAUCCAGCCAUGCCGCGUGUGUGAAGAAGGUCUUCGGAUUGUAAAGCACUUUAAGUUGGGAGGAAGGGCAGUAAGUUAAUACCUUGCUGUUUUGACGUUACCAACAGAAUAAGCACCGGCUAACUUCGUG